AAGCCAAACCGUUCUAUCGCUACUGAUUUAUCAGUGGAGGAAAGUCCGGACACCAUAGGACAGCAUAGUGGGUAACGCCCAUCACUGAGACCGAAAGGUUUUGGGAGGACAAGUGCAACAGAAAGGAUGUACAGGUAAUGCUGUAGUGAAAUCAGGUAAACUCUAUGUGGUGAAAUGCUAUGUAUAUCGGCUAUUAAGGGUGGUCCGCCCGUUGUCGAGGGGUAAGCAGCUAGAGUGUAUUGGCAACAAUGCACCCAGAUAAAUGAUAGAACCAGACAGAAUCCGGCUUAUAGGUUUGGCGUUUUU
This 306-nucleotide RNase P RNA is filed under the name Flavobacteriales bacterium. RNAcentral describes it as "RNase P RNA component class A". It matches the Rfam family "Bacterial RNase P class A". From Rfam's summary of the family: Ribonuclease P (RNase P) is a ubiquitous endoribonuclease, found in archaea, bacteria and eukarya as well as chloroplasts and mitochondria. Its best characterised activity is the generation of mature 5'-ends of tRNAs by cleaving the 5'-leader elements of precursor-tRNAs. Lineage: Bacteria; Pseudomonadati; Bacteroidota; Flavobacteriia; Flavobacteriales. The record is from RNAcentral.